UACGUAGGGUGCAAGCGUUAAUCGGAAUUACUGGGCGUAAAGCGUGCGCAGGCGGCUGUGCAAGACCGAUGUGAAAUCCCCGGGCUUAACCUGGGAAUGGCAUUGGUGACUGUACGGCUAGAGUGUGUCAGAGGGGGGUAGAAUUCCACGUGUAGCAGUGAAAUGCGUAGAGAUGUGGAGGAAUACCGAUGGCGAAGGCAGCCCCCUGGGAUAACACUGACGCUCAUGCACGAAAGCGUGGGGAGCAAACAGG
RNAcentral lists this ribosomal RNA (253 nucleotides) under uncultured bacterium. RNAcentral's name for it is "partial 16S ribosomal RNA". It matches the Rfam family "Bacterial small subunit ribosomal RNA", at positions 524 to 776 of the family's 1533-position model. The record is from RNAcentral.